This 492-nucleotide ribosomal RNA is filed under the name uncultured bacterium. Its description in RNAcentral is "partial 16S ribosomal RNA". It matches the Rfam family "Bacterial small subunit ribosomal RNA", at positions 29 to 507 of the family's 1533-position model. The record is from RNAcentral.
AGUGAACGCUGGCGGUAGGCCUAACACAUGCAAGUCGAACGGCAGCACAGUAAGAGCUUGCUCUUACGGGUGGCGAGUGGCGGACGGGUGAGUAAUACAUCGGAAUCUACUUUUUCGUGGGGGAUAACGUAGGGAAACUUACGCUAAUACCGCAUACGACCUACGGGUGAAAGCAGGGGAUCUUCGGACCUUGCGCGAUUGAAUGAGCCGAUGUCGGAUUAGCUAGUUGGCGGGGUAAAGGCCCACCAAGGCGACGAUCCGUAGCUGGUCUGAGAGGAUGAACAGCCACACUGGAACUGAGACACGGUCCAGACUCCUACGGGAGGCAGCAGUGGGGAAUAUUGGACAAAGGGCGCAAGCCUGAUCCAGCAAUACCGCGUGGGUGAAGAAGGCCUUCGGGUUGUAAAGCCCUUUUGUUGGGAAAGAAAAGCAGCAGGUUAAUACGCCGCUGUUCUGACGGUACCCAAAGAAUAAGCACCGGCUAACUUCGUG